Molecule: long non-coding RNA, 801 nt
Filed under: Linum usitatissimum (flax)
Lineage: Eukaryota; Viridiplantae; Streptophyta; Magnoliopsida; Malpighiales; Linaceae
Description: long non-coding RNA (LUSI_LNC006623)
Source: RNAcentral
UCCUUUUUUGUCUAUUUCUUAGAAGAUAAGUUAUUGAAAAUUUUAAAUUGCAAAAAAUAAAAACAAUAAAACAUUUGAAAGCUUUUUAUAGAGAAAUUGUUAAUUUAUGGGGAGAAAUAUUCAACUUGGCUCCCACCCACUCGCCACUGUCCCCACAGACACAAAGUUCAGAAUGUCUUAGUCGGAAUCUUCCCUCUUUUGCUAUCUUACCUUCUCCCAAGUCCCAACCACCACACCAUGACAAAACUUGCAAAGCUACAACACAAAACCUCCCAUCGUCUUGUUGAGUGAAGAAAUCGUUCGGUAAAAUUUCGUGUUCGAAUCUCAUCACAACAUCAAUAGACAAUUUAGCUAGAAUUCUAUGAUAAAGUUAUGCUUCUUUCAAUGUCACCAAGAUGAUUGAUUUGGUGAAAGUGUUUUAUCAAAUUCAAUCGUAACGAAGAUGUAUAUAUGAAUAUUUUGGUAAUUUUUUUCUUUUGAUUAUAUAUUAACUAAAAGCGAAGUGCGUAACAAUUUAAGCCAUAUAUAUGCAUGUUCGUUGUGUACACAUUUCUAUACGGAUUAACACCUUACCUAAUCCCUCGUUCCCUCAGUAUACACAACACCAUUUACUUACACGUAACAUCAACCAACAACAACAAUAGCAUCGUAAUCAAUCAUAAGUGUAAACCAUUAAAGAAAGUAUUUACACUCAAAUUAAACAACAAACAUUAAAAAAAAACAAAUAAUCCUAAUUUCAAACCCAUUUCAUGGAUUCGAAAUUAAAUUAAAAAAGUAUAUAUAAUAUAACAACAGAGACAC